This 336-nucleotide long non-coding RNA is filed under the name Anser brachyrhynchus (Pink-footed goose). Its description in RNAcentral is "lncRNA (ENSABRG00000017435.1)". Lineage: Eukaryota; Metazoa; Chordata; Aves; Anseriformes; Anatidae. The record is from RNAcentral.
UAAUUACCCAGAAGUUGGAGGGGAAUAUCCUGACCAUUUCUUCCUUCUUUUCCUGGAACAGUGUCCUAAAUCAUCAAUGUUCUUGUCAGCACAUCAUCCAAAUAAAAUCUACUGAGUCAUUUUUAGACCUUCUCCUGGGAGCUGAACAUUUCCAAAACUUCAAGUUGGACAAUCAUGAGAACUGGAACACCAGGGGGAGAAGGGGUUUGAGAUGCUGACUGUUAUCUACCUUUUGACUGCUGCCUUCAUCUGUCAGUCAGGGCUUCAGAGUGGGAAGAUACGAAUUAAAACACAGAGCUUCAGGACUCCUUUUUCAUUUUUUUCCCUGUGCUUGCU